UACAGCACCACCGCAAACAACUGAGGAAAGGAGCAAAACGUCUCCGUGGUCUCAUCUCCGGAGAACAAGGAGCCUGAAUCCAUACUGAUCUGCUCUGCUUCAAGUGCUGCAAAUCUGGCACAACAAAGCAGGAGGAUGUCGUCAAGUGUCCUCGGGGUCCCGUCCUUCAGUGCUGUGCAGUUCAGUGAUAAGACUGGUGAUAACAUCUGGCCAAAGGAUCAAGAACCAAAGAGGGACAAAUCAUGCCAGGUGCAGGUUUCGUGAGAAAAGAGGGCGACCAGAGGGAAAGAGACGGAACAUCAAAAUGCAAGAUCACAUCCAGCCUGUGGGCCUCGGCGUCAGGCGGGACGUGUUUCUGAGCAGAAGACAUCCGCCGCCGGCGGACGGGAAUGUAUGACGUAGAAGGAAAGGCGCUGAGCGGGGAAGCUACGCAUGCUUUGCAUUUCUUGAGGAGCGACACACAUCUUGAUAAAGCAUAUCAUCUUUAUAAAGUUUAGGUGGUCAACCGUGAAGAAGAAGAAGAAACGUGAAGGUUUUGACUUUAAAACUAUUAUUGUACCUUAUUUCUGAACGGUUCCCAUCAGGGAAUUUCUUUAUAAAUAUACAAAACAAAUGAGAUGCAGGUAAUUUUCUUAAUGUAGAGCUAUCCAAAUGCUAAGCAUGUAAAUUUGAUUGUUUUAGUAACUUUAAUGUAGUGCACUGUGCUGCUGUAUUAUCUCGGUAAAUACAAGUAUUGGAUUGGAGCAGGCGGAUUAUCAAUUUUAAAUGAUGGGGGCAUUUUUUUGCUUAAGUUAAAGUGUAGAGACAGA
Gasterosteus aculeatus aculeatus (three-spined stickleback) is the source of this 809-nucleotide long non-coding RNA. The record is from Ensembl. NCBI's taxonomy places the organism in Eukaryota, Metazoa, Chordata, Actinopteri, Perciformes, Gasterosteidae.